This 403-nucleotide ribosomal RNA is filed under the name uncultured bacterium. RNAcentral describes it as "partial 16S ribosomal RNA". It matches the Rfam family "Bacterial small subunit ribosomal RNA", at positions 28 to 526 of the family's 1533-position model. The record is from RNAcentral.
GACGAACGCUGGCGGCGUGCCUAAUACAUGCAAGUCGAACGCAGUGGGGACGGGUGAGUAACACGUGGGUAACCUCCCAUCAGAGGGGAUAACACUUGGAAACAGGUGCUAAACCGAUACUGAUGGAUGGACCCGCGGUGCAUGAGCUAGUUGGUGAGGUAACGGCUCACCAAGGCCACGUGGCAUAGCCGACAUGGGAGGGUGGUCGCCCACACUGGGACUGAGACCGGGCCCAGGCUCCUACGGAAGGCAGCAGGAGGGAGUCUUCGGCAAUGAACGAAAGACUGACAGAGCCACGCCGCGUGAGUGAGGAAGGUUUUCGGAUCGUAAAACUCUGUUGUUAGUGCAGCGGUAUCUAACCAGAAAGCCACGGCUAACUACGUGCCAGCAGCCGCGGUAAUAC